This 563-nucleotide long non-coding RNA is filed under the name Homo sapiens (human). Its description in RNAcentral is "long intergenic non-protein coding RNA 2109 (ENSG00000274882.4)". Lineage: Eukaryota; Metazoa; Chordata; Mammalia; Primates; Hominidae. The record is from RNAcentral.
AGAGACAGAGGAAAGGCUGAAGGUUGAGUUGAUUACCAGUAGCUCACGAUAUAAUCAUUCAUGCCUACAUAACACAGCUUUCAUAAGAACCCAAUAGGACAGGGUUCAAGGACCCUCUAAAGAAUGCCACACCUAUAGAGGCAUGGAAACUCUUUGCCACUUUCAUCUGACUAUUGAUCUAUAUCCUUUGUAAUGCCUCUUAUAAGAAAUGGGCAGAUUCUAGCAGUGUUUGUGAGAAAAACUGAUGGAUCCUGCAGAUUAACUAUGGACAGCCAAAUAUUGAGUAAAGUGAUGUCUACAACAGCAUCAGCUAUGCCUGAUAUGGUGUUAAUUCACAUUGUGAAGUUCCAAAAUCAGAAGAUGAUACAGAAAGAUUGCUCUGGUUGCCUGGUUUCUGAAGAAAUCGUGUACCCUGUCUGGAUAGUGUCUUACUUCCUAUCCACAAAGUUGUGAAAUAAUCUGGAAUUAAAUGGCAACCUAAACAACCCUAGAGUUGCCUGAACACAGAGCCAUUGCUGUGUUGAUCAUUAUAGCAGUCCUCAAUAGGAAAAAGAUGCCUCCCU